ACUAAUGGUUCUAAUGACAUAACAAGUAGAUUUUAGUGAAUGUUAAUAAGUAUUAAAUAUAAACACAAGCAGCAUUCAACCAAUUACACCAAUCAGUAUGUAGUUGGGGAGUGAAGGCUUGCCCGUGUGCUACUAUAGCUCAGACUGCUCAGGAAGUUAAUGCUGGUUCUGGUGGAAAGGUGUGAGAAUACACAGUGCAUCACAGUUUGUUGUGUAUGAGGCUGCAUAGCACACAAUAAUGGAAGAAGGUGGCCUGGUCUGAUGUAUCACUUUUUCUUUUACAUCACAUGGAAUACCAGAGUAACUCAUGGCACCAGGAUGCACUAUGGGAAGAAGGCAAGCUGGAGGAGGCAGUGUGAUGCUUUGGGUAAAUGUUCCGCUGGGAAACCUUGUGUCCUACCAUCCAUGUGGAUGACAUGUACAACCUACCUAAGCAUUACUGCAGACCAUGUACACCCUUUCAUGGAAAUAGUAUUCCCUGGUGGCUGUGGCCUUUUUCAGCAGGAUAAUGUGCCCUGCCACAAAGCAAAUAUGGUUCAGGAAUGGUUUGAGGAGCACAACAAGUUUGAGAUGUUGACUUGGCUCUCAAUCUGAUCGAGCAUCUGUGGGAUGUGCUGAACAAACAAGUCAGAUCCAUGGAGAUCUUACCUCACAACUUACAGGACUUAAAUGAUCUGUUGCUAAUAUCUUGGUGCAAGACACCUCAGCACACCUUCAGGGGUCUAAUGGAGUCCAUGCCUCGACGGUUCAGCGAUGUUUUGGCAGCAAAAUGGGGACUAACACAAUAUUAGGAAGGUGGUCAUAAUGUCAUGCCUGAUCGGUUUUACAUCUGAUGUGAGGUUGGAAACCACUUCAGACAAUUUUCAUUUUAACUGACUGAAAACAAAAUCCAUGGGGAAUUUGAAACAGGAUGGAAGCAAAAGCUUAAUAAAAUAAGGCACACUGAAAAAGUGAAACAGACAUGGAAAUUAUAUGCAAAUAUUGGGGUAUGCUAAAUAGACCAUAAGUACUUGAAUAGAUACUGUUUAAUGAAACAUUAUGCACACUUAUAACAA
Molecule: long non-coding RNA, 1055 nt
Organism: Carassius gibelio (silver crucian carp)
Lineage: Eukaryota; Metazoa; Chordata; Actinopteri; Cypriniformes; Cyprinidae
Exons: 2
Source: RefSeq, a predicted model, not a curated record